UACGUAGGGUGCAAGCGUUGUCCGGAAUUAUUGGGCGUAAAGAGCUCGUAGGCGGUCUGUCGCGUCGGAUGUGAAAAUCCAGGGCUCAACCCUGGACCUGCAUUCGAUACGGGCAGACUAGAGUUCGGUAGGGGAGACUGGAAUUCCUGGUGUAGCGGUGAAAUGCGUUGAUAUCGAUAGGAACUCCGGUGGCGAAGGCGGCAUACUGGUCCACUUCUGACGCUGAGGCGCGAAAGCCAGGGGAGCAAACGGG
RNAcentral lists this ribosomal RNA (253 nucleotides) under uncultured bacterium. Its description in RNAcentral is "partial 16S ribosomal RNA". It matches the Rfam family "Bacterial small subunit ribosomal RNA", at positions 524 to 776 of the family's 1533-position model. The record is from RNAcentral.